Long non-coding RNA from Magnolia sinica, 704 nucleotides. RefSeq lists it as uncharacterized. The transcript has 3 exons. NCBI's taxonomy places the organism in Eukaryota, Viridiplantae, Streptophyta, Magnoliopsida, Magnoliales, Magnoliaceae. The record is from RefSeq and is a predicted model, not a curated record.
UUUUGAAUUGCUAACAGAUGUUAAAUUUAUGAUGAUGUUUUUAAAAUUUUAAUACACCCCAUUCCUUAGUACGGACAGCCCAUUAACUUUUUUAUUUUUCUCCAUUGACGUGAUUGAAAUAUCCACGUCAAAGCUUUUCACCUAUGAUGAUGUUGUGGAGAGAGUUGCUCGCCAACUUGGCUUGGAUGAUCCAACAAAAAUUAGGCUUACUUCUCACAACUGUUACUCUCAACAGCCUAAGCCCCAACCCAUCAAGUUUUGGGGUGUAGAACAUCUGUCUGACAUGCUGGUCCACUACAACCAACUUCCGAUAUCCUGUAUUAUGAAGUGUUGGACAUUCCUUUGCCAGAAUUGAAAGGCUUGAAAACUCUGAAAGUUGCUUUCCAUCACUCCACUAAAGAUGAGGUGGUUAUUCACACUACUAGAUUGCCCAAACAGAGUACUGUAGGGGAUGUAAUCAACGACUUGAAAACCAAGGUUAAUUUCUGCAACUGUUUAUGCACUUCUAUUUGAUGUGGUCCUCGUCUUCUUCAAGGUUUCCUUAAUGCAUGAGCCUAUUAUCCCACUCUUUCUCAAAAGAGGACAAUUGCUUUUCUAAGCUAGUAGUUUAUUGAAACCCAGUUGAUAUGCAAUCGGGAUGCUUCUCAUGUAUUGACUGAUAGAAUGCUGCUAUUUUGGUGCCCUUGGAAGAAAAUCACCUGACU